UGCAUCGAUGAAGAACGCAGCGAAAUGCGAUAAGUAAUGUGAAUUGCAGAGUUCAGUGAAUCAUCGAAUCUUUGAACGCACAUUGCGCCCGCCAGUAUUCUGGCGGGCAUGCCUGUUCGAGCGUCAUUUCAACCCUCAAGCCCCCUGGGCUUGGUGUUGGAGAUCGGCAAAACGGCCCCCUCGGGGGUUCGCGCCGUCUCCCAAAUCUAGUGGCGGUCUCGCUGUAGCUUCCUCUGCGUAGUAACUCACCUCGCACUGGGACUGGGCGCGGCCACGCCGUUAAACACCCCACUUCUGAAGGUUGACCUCGGAUCAGGUAGGACUACCCGCUGAACUUAAGCAUAUCAAUAAGCGGAGGA
This 359-nucleotide ribosomal RNA is filed under the name uncultured fungus. Its description in RNAcentral is "eukaryotic LSU rRNA". The stretch from base 1 to 126 matches the Rfam family "5.8S ribosomal RNA", at positions 29 to 154 of the family's 154-position model. The record is from RNAcentral. Lineage: Eukaryota; Fungi.